CGGCCGGCGGGGAGCGGGGACGGCCGCCGCCACGGCGGCGGCGCGGAUCGUCGCGACGAGCCGCGCGGCGUCCGACGGGCCACCGGUCGG
RNAcentral lists this transfer RNA (90 nucleotides) under Cellulomonas marina. RNAcentral describes it as "tRNA-Pro". Lineage: Bacteria; Bacillati; Actinomycetota; Actinomycetes; Micrococcales; Cellulomonadaceae. The record is from RNAcentral.